Molecule: non-coding RNA, 110 nt
Organism: Cordylochernes scorpioides
Lineage: Eukaryota; Metazoa; Arthropoda; Arachnida; Pseudoscorpiones; Chernetidae
Source: the annotation of a GenBank genome assembly
UGACCCGGGCAACGCCCGGGUUUUACCCGAUUAAAUGCUUUUAUUCAAAUAAUCGAACCCGGGCCGCCCGCGUGGCAGGCGAGCAUUCUACCACUGAACCACCGAUGGUU